Molecule: ribosomal RNA, 257 nt
Filed under: uncultured bacterium
Lineage: Bacteria
Description: partial 16S ribosomal RNA
Rfam family: Bacterial small subunit ribosomal RNA
Source: RNAcentral
UCAGGCCUAACACAUGCAAGUUGAACGGCAGCACGGGUGUUUGCUCCUGGUGGCAAUUGGCGAACGGUUAAUUAAUACUUCGGAAGGUACCUUAUGGUGGGGGAUAAGGCAGGGAAAGUUGCGUUAAUCCGGCAUACAUCUUGAGGGGGAAAGCGGGGAUCGCUAAGCCCUCGCGCGAUUAGAGCGGCGAAUGUAUAAUUAGUUUGUUGGUGAGGUAAAAGUUCACCAAGGCGAUAAUCAGUAGUUGUUUUGAGAGG